CUUCUUGACCACGGGAGUUGUCAAGCAUUAUUCCAAACAAAAUGCACGAAAUGUCAUUUACUCCUUAAUGGACGAGGGCUGUGUUCGUAGAUACUUCUGCCUGCUUUAUGAUUGACAUGUCUGCAUUGAAGAAAAAUGGCAAAUACUUGAAAUAGGGCCUAUGUACAAUUCAUUUUGCUGGUCGAAUGGAAGCUGAUAUUUUGGAGCAUGUCCUUUAUUCACCAUGAAACUACCAGUGUCAGUCUCAAACAGUAGGCACUAUGUGCUGCCUGGUCACCCUGGCUGUUUUGUAGGCUAAAGUGCUACAAAGUACCCAUGACUCCAGAGAGUCAGGCUCUCAGCUUGCCCCCACGGCCUGAUAUUUCAUCCUCCCUGGAUGACAUGCAGAAUAUAAUGCUGUCAUCAGCUGGCAUUGUUUGUCUUAACAGGCAGCGCAGGUGACUUGGAAAGUGCAUCCUGUCCCACCGCAAUCUCAGAAAAUUUACAAUGGCAAGAAUCUUGCAAAAAACCUCCAUGGUGAUCAAACACCUGCUCAAGAAAACAACUGAAGACAACCCGCAUUCUUGGCAGCUCGGAUGCGAUCGCUGAUGACUGCUUGAGCCUCCUCCAUGGUUGUAUCUCUGAGCAUCUUGCUUUAUCUGUGGUUACGAAACACAGCCAGAACAGCAUGUAUACUCCUGAGGGCAAGCUAGACAAAAUGAGCUAUGUAAGUGAAAACUUCAUGUUAUAUAUACUGCAUCUCAUCAAUCGUUGCAUAAAACAUUUUUUUGGUUUCUUUUUUUCUUUAUCAGCACAUUAGCCUGGGUUUUGUAAUGCCACACCAACGUGUAAAGCAUGUACAUGCAAGUCGUUUUAAUUACGGUGAAAGUCAAAUCACUAUGGCAACCUAGACAGGUGUUUCGUAACAUGUCAAAGCCUGUGACAAGAUUUGUUUUCUCUUGAUGUGCAUCAGAAAGCAAAUUUGACAA
Molecule: long non-coding RNA, 968 nt
Filed under: Acanthaster planci (crown-of-thorns starfish)
Lineage: Eukaryota; Metazoa; Echinodermata; Asteroidea; Valvatida; Acanthasteridae
Description: uncharacterized LOC110975899, transcript variant X2
Source: RNAcentral